AUAUCAGUCAUGCAUAGCAUAUCAAUAAGCGGAGGAAAAGAAACUAACAAGGAUUCCCUUAGUAACGGCGAGUGAAGCGGGAAGAGCUCAAAUUUGAAAUCUUCAAGGUUCUACCUUGACGAAUUGUAGUUUAUAGAAGUGUUUUCUGUUAGUAGGAGUGGCAAAAGUUCUUUGGAAUAGGACAUCAUAGAGGGUGAGAAUCCCGUAUUUGGUCAUUCCUUCUAGCGUUGUGAUACACUUUCAACGAGUCGGAUUGUUUGGGAAUGCAGUCCAAAAUGGGUGGUAAAUUUCAUCUAAAGCUAAAUAUUGGCGAGAGACCGAUAGCGAACAAGUACCGUGAGGGAAAGAUGAAAAGAACUUUGAAAAGAGAGUUAAACAGUACGUGAAAUUGUCAAAAGGGAAGCGUUUGACACCAGUGUUGUUUUUCCGAAAAUCAAUUACGAAUGUUUUAUUUUUGAGGAGUUAUGACUUCAUCGGCUUGCUCCUUUCUUUACUGAAACUUUCUUAAUGCACUUUUCGGUUAACAAGUCAACAUCAAUUUCUUUUGUUGUAAAAGGGUAUGAGGAAGGUGGCUUCCUUUUCGGAGAAAGUGUUUAUAGCCUUGUGCCUCUGCAAUCGGAGAGAUUGAGGUCUGCAGCGUAGAUCCUUCGGGGUUAGAUACAGUUUGUGCUAAGUUAUAGCCUUUCAGUAGACAACUUGUUGACUAUGAUUCAGUCAUGUAGCUUACUCGCUGAUGUCAUUUUACCUACGCUUAGGAUGUUGAUGUGAUACUGCGAGC
RNAcentral lists this ribosomal RNA (778 nucleotides) under uncultured Neocallimastigales. Its description in RNAcentral is "partial large subunit ribosomal RNA". It matches the Rfam family "Eukaryotic large subunit ribosomal RNA", at positions 22 to 645 of the family's 3401-position model. Lineage: Eukaryota; Fungi; Neocallimastigomycota; Neocallimastigomycetes; Neocallimastigales. The record is from RNAcentral.